Molecule: ribosomal RNA, 615 nt
Filed under: uncultured eukaryote
Lineage: Eukaryota
Description: SSU rRNA
Rfam family: Eukaryotic small subunit ribosomal RNA
Source: RNAcentral
CCAGCUCCAAUAGCGUAUAUUAAAGUUGUUGCGGUUAAAAAGCUCGUAGUUGGAUUUCUGCUGAGGACGACCGGUCCGCCCACUGGGUGUGCAUCUGGCUCGGCCUGGGCAUCUUCUUGGAGAACGUAUCUGCACUUCAUUGUGUGGUGCGGUAUCCAGGACUUUUACUUUGAGGAAAUUAGAGUGUUUCAAGCAGGCACACGCCUUGAAUACAUUAGCAUGGAAUAAUAAGAUAGGACCUUGGUUUUAUUUUGUUGGUUUCUAGAACUGAGGUAAUGAUUAAUAGGGAUAGUUGGGGGCAUUCGUAUUUAACUGUCAGAGGUGAAAUUCUUGGAUUUGUUAAAGACGAACUACUGCGAAAGCAUUUGCCAAGGAUGUUUUCAUUGAUCAAGAACGAAAGUUAGGGGAUCGAAGACGAUCAGAUACCGUCCUAGCCUUAACCAUAAAUCAUGCCGACUAGAGAUUGGAGGUCGUUAUCUUUACGACUCCUUCAGCACCUUAUGAGAAAUCAAAGUCUUUGGGUUCCGGGGGGAGUAUGGUCGCAAGGCUGAAACUUAAAGGAAUUGACGGAAGGGCACCACCAGGAGUGGAGCCUGCGGCUUAAUUCGACUCAAC